AUUAACAGGGGACCAGGCAGUUCAGUUUCCCAUUCGCUCCCCCCAGUCCCCGACCCUCUGGCUCUCAUCUCACCUCCGUCCGUCCCCAAGCUCGCUCCCUUCGUCUCCCAUCUCCCGGAUCAUCUCUGGCCCCAAGCUCCCUCCCAUUCGAAGUCAACUGUGCUCAGUUUUAACCAUGGCUGCGGAUAUUUGGACCCUAAAUCUUGUAUGCGAGGGGGCAGCUCCAGGACAGGAAAAUGUACAAAGGAAAAUGGACAGAGAUGUGAUAUGCUUCUUCAACUUGAUUGAGCUGAUCGAGGAAUAUGGGUACACAUCAAUCGACUAUCUAUACUACAAGAAAAGAGAUGGUUUGGUUGCACUACAAUGGGAUACGGAUGUGAUGAAAAUGCUUGAAGAGAAUGAGAGCGAGAAGAAUGUUAGCUUGUUUGUGACAAGACAGAGAAUAGCCACCAUAGCACCAACCAAGUCCAACAAAGAACCAUCCAAAUCUGCAGCGAAAAAAGCUAAAGAGAAAAGUGGUAGAAAGAAAAAGCAACAGCUGAAUGUAAUUCAAUCCAAAGAACAAUAUGCCGAUGAGGUUGACCACCAGCAUGAUGAUGAUGACAUCCAAGAAACAUCAGGUGAUGACAAUAAAGUAACCAAGCGAAAGGGAACAGUUUUGGCGCAUGUUUGGGACUUACCAGAGGAAAACCGAAUAUUAGUGAAAUGUAACCAGCUUGGGCAACCUAUUGGGAAAGAAGGUGGUCUGUUAGGGCAAUUUUUAGGCACCAUAUCACGAAAUUGUGGUUAUUGUCCUUUACGUAUCAAAGAUUGGAGAAAAGUAAAGAAUGAUAAAUCUGAAACCAUACUUCAGUGCAUUCAGACCAAGUUCUUGUAUCCACGCUCAUGUGAGAAGUGGAUGCUAAAGUCGAUCGGUAGAGAUUGGAGAAAGUACAAGGCAACACUAAAAAGUAAGCUAUAUAAUCCAAAGAAGAAAAGGUCAGCUUUGUACAAGCUCUGUCCAGAUGAUAUUGAUGAAGAUCAAUGGAAAGCACUAGUAAAAUAUUGGAAGUCAGCAGAAGGAAAAGCCCUUAGUGAGAGGAACAAAGUAAGUCGUGAAAUGAAGAAGACAACACAUACAGCGGGUACAAAGAGUUAUGCGCGUUGGUCAGAGGACUUGAGACAAGCUGAUCCUGAAAAAAAGAAACCACAUAUAGCAACAGCUUACUUAGCAACUCACAGGAAAAGGGCGAAGGAAGCAAAUCAGCUUGCGGUUCAGUUGGAAAAUCUGAUUGAAAAACAACCAGAAUUAGCACAGGAUAGUGAGGGGAGAGUUGCAUGGGAAGGAGAUGCACUACAUCAAGUCUUGGGAGAGGAGAAACCUGGACAAGUACAUGGAAUGGGAUUGCUUCCGAUUCCUAAACAAGUUUAAGGCAGAACAACAAGCCGUUUCAAGGAUAUUAAUAUAGCUGCACUACAUAGUUCGUCAUCUGAUGUAGAGACUCAUAUGUUGGAGGAAAUAAAGCAACUCAAGGAGCGUUCAAGAAGACAAGAAAAAGUUAUUGAUGAACUUAUAAACAACAAAAUGCACCAUGAGAGUGAAGAACGAACAAAGAUUGACCAUGACAAAAUUCAGAAUCAUGUAGUGUCUUCCAACAGAAAGAGAGUUCAAUGUGCUAAACCAAACAAUCUAGAUAUUCUCUGUCAACAGAGGGAUGAAUUGUGUCAAGGUGAUGCAAAUUACAUAGAGUUCUCAGAUCAGGAAGCACAACAAUCAUCCCCACAAUGCUCUACUAAUCAUUUUAGACAAAAGGAGGUUGGUGUGCGUACACAUCCAUCAAGUGAUGCUAGAAUAAAUAGGAAAAGAAAGAUAUCAAGGAGCACUCCAAGAUAAUGCUAUAGGACAGAAGUGUUCCAAAUAUACACGACCUCAGCAAAUUAAGGAUGGAACCACAGUGGUACUUAAGUCUGCAAGUUAUCCAAAUAAGGAAAUUGUGGCCUAUGCAAACAUUUUGAGCUCUAAUCCGAAAGAAACUGUUGGUGGAGUUGAGAUAGGAAAACAAUUCUACAAAGUGCGUAUCAAUCAUCCUGUUAUACAAGAUGAGCCAUUAGUAAGGCCCACAAGUGGAUGCAAGAAAAUUAGUGAUGCCCAUGCCAAAAGAGCACCGAAUGCCCAUGCCAAAAGAGCACCGAUUGCUUGGCCUUUGAUUUGUGUUGAAAUGAUCAAUGGAUGAAUAUAUGUACUUGAAUAUGCACACACGCAUGGACCAUGAAGACAAGAAUUUCUAGAAUAUUGCUUAUUUUUUUUAUUGCAUUUCAUUUCAUGUAGCGCAGAUUUGUAAACAUUUGCUCUUCUUUAUCAUAUUAUUGUGUAAAUAUACUUUGCAUUAUUUGAACAAAGACUAUGUUACAUUCCUACAAUCAAUGCAACUUUCUAUGACUACUGAGAUC
RNA transcript from Panicum virgatum (switchgrass), 2430 nucleotides. RefSeq lists it as uncharacterized. The transcript has 15 exons. The record is from RefSeq and is a predicted model, not a curated record. NCBI's taxonomy places the organism in Eukaryota, Viridiplantae, Streptophyta, Magnoliopsida, Poales, Poaceae.